Molecule: ribosomal RNA, 373 nt
Filed under: uncultured bacterium
Lineage: Bacteria
Description: bacterial SSU rRNA
Rfam family: Bacterial small subunit ribosomal RNA
Source: RNAcentral
GACGAACGCUGGCGGCGUGCUUAACACAUGCAAGUCGAGCGGUAAGGCCCUUUCGGGGGUACACGAGCGGCGAACGGGUGAGUAACACGUGGGUGACCUGCCCUUAGCUCUGGGAUAAGCCUGGGAAACUGGGUCUAAUACCGGAUAUGACUCCAUGACGCAUGUUGUGGGGUGGAAAGCCUUGUGCGGCUAGGGAUGGGCCCGCGGCCUAUCAGCUUGUUGGUGGGGUGAUGGCCUACCAAGGCGACGACGGGUAGCCGGCCUGAGAGGGCGACCGGCCACACUGGGACUGAGACACGGCCCAGACUCCUACGGGAGGCAGCAGUGGGGAAUCUUGCGCAAUGGGCGAAAGCCUGACGCAGCGACGCCGCGU